Molecule: ribosomal RNA, 253 nt
Filed under: uncultured bacterium
Lineage: Bacteria
Description: partial 16S ribosomal RNA
Rfam family: Bacterial small subunit ribosomal RNA
Source: RNAcentral
UACGUAGGUGGCAAGCGUUGUCCGGAUUUACUGGGCGUAAAGAGCGCGCAGGCGGUCGUUCAAGUCGCGUGUGAAAGCCCCCGGCUCAACUGGGGAGGGUCACGCGAUACUGAUCGACUCGAAGGCAGGAGAGGGAAGUGGAAUUCCCGGUGUAGUGGUGAAAUUCGUAGAUAUCGGGAGGAACACCAGUGGCGAAGGCGGCGACCUGGGCCAAUAUUGACGCUGAGGUGCGAAAGCGUGGGGAGCAAACAGG